Harpegnathos saltator (Jerdon's jumping ant) is the source of this 447-nucleotide long non-coding RNA. RefSeq lists it as uncharacterized. NCBI's taxonomy places the organism in Eukaryota, Metazoa, Arthropoda, Insecta, Hymenoptera, Formicidae. The transcript has 2 exons. The record is from RefSeq and is a predicted model, not a curated record.
AGUUCACGGAUUCUUCUGAAAACAAGACAUUAAUCUCUUCGAUAUUUGUCGUUUGUUUAUUUAUUAUUAAUCCAUCAGUUUUAUCGUUUACCUGGAAAUCCGUUGCUAAGAGGUGGAGGAGAAUUUGCAUUCUUCUCCUUCGUGGCAUUUUCUAUUUUGCGUUGCGCAGCCUGCGACAAGAUACGUACCUAACUGACCUGAUGGCAUAUUGCGCAAGGUGACAUGUUAUACGAGUGUAAUCGUAGCAAUUGGAAUCAUUUUGCCCGACAGCAUCCACUUCGCUAGCAGUUAACGCACCAGCUAUGUCUGCUAGUUUUUGAUGUUGCGCCUUAUUCCAAUCGUCCAAUAAUAUUUGAACUAUUUCUAUACUAGGAGGCAUAGCUAUAGAAUCCGAAUUGAAGUCAAGUACAGGACUUGAAGGGCGGCUGUCGUUUUCGGAUGUAUGCG